UACAGAGGCCUCGAGCGUUGUUCGGAAUUACUGGGCGUAAAGGGAAUGUAGGUGGUGACGUAAGUCAGAUGUGAAAGCCCUGGGCUUAACCCGGGAAGUGCAUUUGAUACUGCGUCGCUGGAGUGCGAGAGAGGAAAGUGGAAUUCCCAGUGUAGGGGUGAAAUCCGUAGAUAUUGGGAGGAAUACCGAUGGCGAAGGCAGCUUUCUGGCUCGUAACUGACACUGAGAUUCGAAAGCGUGGGUAGCAAACAGG
Molecule: ribosomal RNA, 253 nt
Filed under: uncultured bacterium
Lineage: Bacteria
Description: partial 16S ribosomal RNA
Rfam family: Bacterial small subunit ribosomal RNA
Source: RNAcentral